Molecule: ribosomal RNA, 32 nt
Filed under: Maxillaria minuta
Lineage: Eukaryota; Viridiplantae; Streptophyta; Magnoliopsida; Asparagales; Orchidaceae
Also listed under: 1 other name
Description: partial 18S ribosomal RNA
Source: RNAcentral
UUUCCGUACGUGAACCUGCGGAAGGAUCAUUG